Molecule: ribosomal RNA, 255 nt
Filed under: uncultured bacterium
Lineage: Bacteria
Description: partial 16S ribosomal RNA
Rfam family: Bacterial small subunit ribosomal RNA
Source: RNAcentral
UACGGAGGGGGCUAGCGUUGUUCGGAAUUACUGGGCGUAAAGCGCGCGUAGGCGGAUCUGCAAGUCGGGGGUGAAAUCCCGAGGCUCAACCUCGGAACUGCCUUCGAUACUGCGGGUCUCGAGUCCGGGAGAGGUGAGUGGAAUUCCUAGUGUAGAGGUGAAAUUCGUAGAUAUUAGGAAGAACACCAGUGGCGAAGGCGGCUCACUGGCCCGGUACUGGACGCUGAGGCGCGAAAGCGUGGGGAGCAAACAGGG